This 1467-nucleotide ribosomal RNA is filed under the name metagenome. Its description in RNAcentral is "bacterial SSU rRNA". It matches the Rfam family "Bacterial small subunit ribosomal RNA". The record is from RNAcentral.
AGAGUUUGAUCCUAGCUCAGGAUGAACGUUGGUAGCAUGCCUAACAUAUGCAAGUCGAACGAGAUUGUAGUAAUACAAUCUAGUGGCGAACGAGUGAGUAAUACUUAUCUUACCUGCCGUUUAGUGGGGGAUAAAAUACCACAUAUUCUUUGGCUUCGGCUAAAGGAAAGGGAGUCUUCGGACUAUCGCUAAACGAUGGGGAUAAGGCGUAUUAGCUAGUUGGUGGGAUAAAGGCCUACCAAGGCAAUGAUGCGUAGCCAGGCUGAGAGGCUGAUUGGCCACGAGGGAACUGAGACACGGUCCCUACUCCUACGGGAGGCAGCAAUGAGGAAUCGUCGGCAAUGGGGGCAACCCUGACCGCGCAAUGCUACGUGAAGGAGGAAGGUCUACGGAUUGUAAACUUCCGUUAGUGCGGAAGAAAGGCUGAAUGCAGUUCAGUUUUGACGGUACGCACAGAGAAAGCCACGACUAACUACGUGCCAGCAGUCGCGGUAAGACGUAGGUGGCGAACGUUAUCCGGAAUUAUUGGGCGUAAAGGGUGCGUAGAUGGUAUAAUAAGUUAGCGGUGGUAAAUCGAGGCUCAACCUCGUGGAAGCUGGUAAUACUGUUAUGCUUGAGUGCGGGAGAGGUUAACGGAACUCCAUGUGGAGCGGUAAAAUGCGUAGAUAUAUGGAAGAACAUCAAUAACGGCGAAGGCAGUUAACUAUUCUGUUACUGACAUUGAGGCACGAAAGCGUGGGGAGCAAAACGGAUUAGAUACCCGUGUAGUCCACGCCCUAAACGAUGAGUACUAGGUAUUGGGAACUUGAUUCUCAGUGCCGCUAGGUAACCCAGUAAGUACUCCGCCUGGGUAGUACGGUCGCAAGGCUGAAACUCAAAGGAAUUGACGGGGACUCGCACAAGCAGUGGAGCAUGUGGUUUAAUCCGAUACAACGCGUAGAACCUUACCAAGGCUUGACAUGUUGGGCAAAGCUAGGGAAACCUAGUGGAGGUUAUCCUAACACAGGUGCUGCAUGGCCGUCGUCAGUUCGUGCCGUGAGGUGUAUGGUUAAGUCCUAUAACGAACGCAACCCUUGGACUUAGUUGCCAGCAUUAAGUUGGGGACUCUAGGUCGACUGCCUGAGUAAUCAGGAGGAAGGAAAGGAUGACGUCUGGUCGUCAUGGCCCUUAUGCCUUGGGCGACACACGUGCUACAAUGGCUAAUACAAAGGGACGCCAACCCGCGAGGGGGAGCAAAUCUCAAAAAAUUAGCCUCAGUUCGGAUUGGAGGCUGCAACUCGCCUCCAUGAAGUUGGAAUUGCUAGUAAUCGCAAAUCAGCCAUGUUGCGGUGAAUACGUUCUCGAGUCUUGUACACACCGCCCGUCAAAUCACGAAAGUCGGUAAUGUCUGAAACCAGUUAGUUAACCCGCAAGGGAUGCGGCUGACAAGGGUAGGAUUGGCAAUUGGGGUUAAGUCGUAACGAGGUA